Molecule: unclassified non-coding RNA, 222 nt
Filed under: uncultured fungus
Lineage: Eukaryota; Fungi
Description: sequence contains ITS1, 5.8S rRNA gene
Rfam family: 5.8S ribosomal RNA (bases 174-222)
Source: RNAcentral
UCUCCGUUGGUGAACCAGCGGAGGGAUCAUUAUAGAGUUUUCUAAACUCCCAACCCUUUGUGAACUUACCUUUGUUGCCUCGGCGGGCCUCUGAGAUUCGUCUCACGUCCGCCGGCGGCCCAUUAAACUCUGUUACUUUUAAGCAAUCUGAGUCUUUUAUAAAAUAAAGUCAAAACUUUCAACAACGGAUCUCUUGGUUCUGGCAUCGAUGAAGAACGCAGC